RNAcentral lists this ribosomal RNA (253 nucleotides) under uncultured bacterium. Its description in RNAcentral is "partial 16S ribosomal RNA". It matches the Rfam family "Bacterial small subunit ribosomal RNA", at positions 524 to 776 of the family's 1533-position model. The record is from RNAcentral.
UACGUAGGGAGCAAGCGUUGUCCGGAAUCAUUGGGCGUAAAGCGCGCGUAGGUGGCCUCGUAAGUCCGCUGUCAAAGUCAAAGGCUCAACCUUUGAAAGCCGGUGGAUACUGCGGGGCUAGAGUACGGAAGAGGCGAGUGGAAUUCCUGGUGUAGCGGUGGAAUGCGCAGAUAUCAGGAGGAACACCAAUAGCGAAGGCAGCUCGCUGGGACGUUACUGACACUGAGGCGCGAAAGCGUGGGGAGCGAACAGG